GCUUCUUCCAUCAUAAUCAAUAUACCUUGAAGAAUGAGGCGUGUACGGCGAAGAGCUUGGAAGUGAUGGAUCCCCAUAGUUGUAUGAAUGCCUUGGUUGCAGCUUGCUUCUUUCAUCAUACUCUACAUAUCUUGAAGAAUGAAACGAGUAUGGCGAAGAGCUUGGGAGUGAUGGAGCCCCAUGAUUGUAUGAAUCAUGUUGGUAGUGACCUUGAUGCCUUGACAGUUUGCUUCCCAUAAUUCAGAUACCCAAUCGUCUUUAAUGAAGCCUAAUCUCUGGUGAAACAGCAGAAAUACAGAAUUUCAG
RNAcentral lists this unclassified non-coding RNA (306 nucleotides) under Hevea brasiliensis (rubber tree). The record is from RNAcentral. Lineage: Eukaryota; Viridiplantae; Streptophyta; Magnoliopsida; Malpighiales; Euphorbiaceae.